Molecule: ribosomal RNA, 252 nt
Filed under: uncultured bacterium
Lineage: Bacteria
Description: partial 16S ribosomal RNA
Rfam family: Bacterial small subunit ribosomal RNA
Source: RNAcentral
UACAGAGGGUGCAAGCGUUGUUCGGAAUUAUUGGGCGUAAGGGCUCGUAGGCGGCCAACUAAGUCAGACGUGAAAUCCCUCGGCUUAACCGGGGAACUGCAUCUGAUACUGGAUGGCUUGAGUUCGGGAGAGGGAUGCGGAAUUCCAGGUGUAGCGGUGAAAUGCGUAGAUAUCUGGAGGAACACCGGUGGCGAAGGCGGCAUCCUGGACCGACACUGACGCUGAGGAGCGAAAGCCAGGGGAGCAAACGGG